AGCCGUGUACUCGGGUGGGGUCUGGCCUCGCCUUCAGCUCCAGGACUGGGUCCCGGGUGGACGGGCUGCUUAAUGCUUUCCCAUCGACUCCGCCAGCUCAGCAGUCCACUUGAGAAUUCAUCUACUCCCUCCAGCACGCUUAUUUCUUUAAGCCUGGACAGAGGGAGACGAGACCGCCUGGGGUCGUGGAGGGGUGGCCAUCUGAAGAAGCGAGACAGUGCAAAAAUCCAGCCAGAGAAAUGGAAAGAAACCAUGACACGGUCGACCUACUUCUCCACUUUUCAGUUAUGUCUUUGUUUUCUCCAGCAUGGCUGGGACCUGAGCACUGGCAAGGUGAUGUAAGAUGGGACUGAGAACUGAAUCUUCUUCUCCGCCUUGACUUGUGCACAGUGACAAGGAAAUUACCUGCCACGCCCCUCCCUCCACACAGCUUACUGUCUGCAUUGACAUGACUUUACUAUUUCAUGCUUUACACAACCUGUUGUAUGGAAGUUUCUAUUUAAAUAUGUCCUCUUUAAUGUAUGCGGUUGACUUUUAUUGUGUGGUACUGGUGAUUGAACCCCAGGCUAUGCAUUGAGCUAUAUCCUCAGGAUAAGU
Heterocephalus glaber (naked mole-rat) is the source of this 597-nucleotide long non-coding RNA. The record is from Ensembl. NCBI's taxonomy places the organism in Eukaryota, Metazoa, Chordata, Mammalia, Rodentia, Bathyergidae.